UCAUGGAGAAAUAAUUGCUUAUGGAGAGGGAGAGAAUGGAACACACACUUUUUAGAUAGAUGGACAUGUGCAAGUGGCAAAUGAAUGAUCCCGAGGCACAAAUGAAGUCCUCGUUAUCGGAUUGCACAUGGUUGGAAAAUGAGUAUGGAUUAACAUUUAGGGCAUUGGAAACCUUAUGAAGCCCAAAGAACUGAAGGGCAUUUUUAUUCUUAUUUUUCUUCAUCUUUCUUUCAUUAUUUUUGCACUUUUUCUUCUUUUUCUUAACUCAUUUUUUCUUUUUCUUCCCUUUUCUUUUUUUCCUUUUGCCUCCUCAAAACUUUUUUUUGCAAAAUAAUACUUAUUCAGCAGUAGUCAGAGAUAAUGUGAUGACUCUAUCCUCCCAUGCUUGAACAAUGCUCGUCCUCAAGCAUGAAUGAGAGAAUAAAAUGAUUGCCGAUGUAAGUAUAGAAUCCUUUGGUCUUCCACACCAAGAAUUGGAGCUUUCGGAGGAGGGAACCACUGAGGCCAAUCGGCC
RNAcentral lists this long non-coding RNA (514 nucleotides) under Setaria viridis. Its description in RNAcentral is "long non-coding RNA (SVIR_LNC003626)". The record is from RNAcentral. Lineage: Eukaryota; Viridiplantae; Streptophyta; Magnoliopsida; Poales; Poaceae.